GUGGGGAAUUUUCCGCAAUGGGCGAAAGCCUGACGGAGCAAUGCCGCGUGGAGGUGGAAGGCCUACGGGUCGUCAACUUCUUUUCUCGGAGAAGAAACAAUGACGGUAUCUGAGGAAUAAGCAUCGGCUAACUCUGGGCCAG
RNAcentral lists this ribosomal RNA (142 nucleotides) under uncultured bacterium. RNAcentral's name for it is "partial 16S rRNA". It matches the Rfam family "Bacterial small subunit ribosomal RNA", at positions 354 to 511 of the family's 1533-position model. The record is from RNAcentral.